CCCUUGUACACACCGCCCGUCACACCAUGGGAGUUGGUUUUACCUGAAGACGGUGCGCUAACCCGCAAGGGAGGCAGCCGGCCACGGUAGGGUCAGCGACUGGGGUGAAGUCGUAAACAAGGUACC
RNAcentral lists this ribosomal RNA (126 nucleotides) under uncultured bacterium. RNAcentral describes it as "partial 16S ribosomal RNA". It matches the Rfam family "Bacterial small subunit ribosomal RNA", at positions 1378 to 1500 of the family's 1533-position model. The record is from RNAcentral.